RNAcentral lists this ribosomal RNA (575 nucleotides) under Trichoderma asperellum. RNAcentral describes it as "eukaryotic LSU rRNA". The stretch from base 196 to 349 matches the Rfam family "5.8S ribosomal RNA". The record is from RNAcentral. Lineage: Eukaryota; Fungi; Ascomycota; Sordariomycetes; Hypocreales; Hypocreaceae.
AGGGAUCAUUACCGAGUUUACAACUCCCAAACCCAAUGUGAACGUUACCAAACUGUUGCCUCGGCGGGGUCACGCCCCGGGUGCGUCGCAGCCCCGGAACCAGGCGCCCGCCGGAGGAACCAACCAAACUCUUUCUGUAGUCCCCUCGCGGACGUAUUUCUUUACAGCUCUGAGCAAAAAUUCAAAAUGAAUCAAAACUUUCAACAACGGAUCUCUUGGUUCUGGCAUCGAUGAAGAACGCAGCGAAAUGCGAUAAGUAAUGUGAAUUGCAGAAUUCAGUGAAUCAUCGAAUCUUUGAACGCACAUUGCGCCCGCCAGUAUUCUGGCGGGCAUGCCUGUCCGAGCGUCAUUUCAACCCUCGAACCCCUCCGGGGGAUCGGCGUUGGGGAUCGGGACCCCUCACACGGGUGCCGGCCCCUAAAUACAGUGGCGGUCUCGCCGCAGCCUCUCCUGCGCAGUAGUUUGCACAACUCGCACCGGGAGCGCGGCGCGUCCACGUCCGUAAAACACCCAACUUUCUGAAAUGUUGACCUCGGAUCAGGUAGGAAUACCCGCUGAACUUAAGCAUAUCAAUA